Molecule: ribosomal RNA, 460 nt
Filed under: uncultured bacterium
Lineage: Bacteria
Description: partial 16S ribosomal RNA
Rfam family: Bacterial small subunit ribosomal RNA
Source: RNAcentral
CCUACGGGGUGCAGCAGUGAGGAAUAUUGGUCAAUGGACGGAAGUCUGAACCAGCCAUGCCGCGUGCAGGAAGACGGCUCUAUGAGUUGUAAACUGCUUUUGUACAAGGGUAAACCUGAAUACGUGUAUUCAGCUGAAAGUACUGUACGAAUAAGGAUCGGCUAACUCCGUGCCAGCAGCCGCGGUAAUACGGAGGAUCCAAGCGUUAUCCGGAUUUAUUGGGUUUAAAGGGUGCGUAGGCGGAUUGAUAAGUUAGAUGUGAAAUGUCCGAGCUUAACUCGGGAACUGCCUCUAAUACUGUUGGUCUAGAGAGUAGAUGCGGUAGGCGGAAUGUAUGGUGUAGCGGUGAAAUGCUUAGAGAUCAUACAGAACACCGAUUGCGAAGGCAGCUUACCAAUCUAUAUCUGACGUUGAGGCACGAAAGCGUGGGGAGCAAACAGGAUUAGAUACCCCUGUAGUC